AUGAAUCCAGUGGACAAAACAAUACAAGAAGUGCAUCCAUUGCAGUAACAUAUAAAACGGAUUCGGAUGGUCAAAGUGCUGAGACAUUCCCAUCUGAACAUCUGAAAUGCCUGAACAUCACAAUAUGUUAAAACUGACAAUUGGACCAAAGAUGCCCUGGAGAAUUUAUAUUCCAGUGUCAAGAAAGCACAGCAUAAAGGUGGAACUUGCACAGUGCAUGUAUACGUGGCAUUGUUUUGAACAGCACCAGCGAUCCCACGAAGACGUUCUACCAGUCUGUAAUGAGCACCGUGUUAGCUGGCUGAACACCUCCGUGAAGUUGGCACCCCAUAAAAAGAAUUGCAUGGUAUGCAUUUAACAGCUAAUAUUAUUAUAUUAAAGUUUUUCUGUCCCCCUUACAAAAGAUUAUUCAUCACACCGCAUAAGAAAACAAAAAGGACAUAACGGACUGUAGAAAAAGUGCUCAAAGAUAAAAUAGCCUUAAGCUAAUGAAUGUGUGCAUACCAGGACAAUUAAAAAUACAAUA
Onychostoma macrolepis is the source of this 526-nucleotide long non-coding RNA. RefSeq lists it as uncharacterized. The record is from RefSeq and is a predicted model, not a curated record. NCBI's taxonomy places the organism in Eukaryota, Metazoa, Chordata, Actinopteri, Cypriniformes, Cyprinidae. The transcript is spliced from 3 exons.